AACAAGGCGUACCUGCGGACCUGCGGAGGGAUCAUUAUCCAUCCAAAACCAGCUGCGGUCGCGGCCCCACGCUUACCCGUGGCGGUACGCGCCGCACGUCUGCACCCUUUUUUUACGAGUACCUUCGUUCUCCCUCGGCAGGGCAACCUGCCGUUGGAACCAUACAAAACCUCUUUUUGCAUCUAGCAUUACCUGUUCUGAUACAAACAAUCGUUACAACUUUCAGCAACGGAUCUCAGA
Molecule: unclassified non-coding RNA, 240 nt
Filed under: soil metagenome
Description: partial contains 5.8S ribosomal RNA, internal transcribed spacer 2, and large subunit ribosomal RNA
Source: RNAcentral